GAUGAAGAACGCAGCGAAAUGCGAUAAGUAAUGUGAAUUGCAGAAUUCAGUGAAUCAUCGAGUCUUUGAACACACAUUGCGCCCCCUGGUAUUCCGGGGGGCAUGCCUGUCCGAGCGUCAUUGCUGCCCUCAAGCACGGCUUGUGUGUUGGGCCCCCGUCCCCGGUUUCCCCCGGGGACGGGCCCGAAAGGCAGCGGCGGCACCGCGUCCGGUCCUCGAGCGUAUGGGGCUUUGUCACCCGCUCUGUAGGCCCGGCCGGCGCCAGCCGACACCCAACUUUAUUUCUAAGGUUGACCUCGGAUCAGGUAGGGAUACCCGCUGAACUUAAGCAUAUCAAUAAGCGGAGGA
RNAcentral lists this unclassified non-coding RNA (348 nucleotides) under soil metagenome. RNAcentral's name for it is "partial contains 5.8S ribosomal RNA, internal transcribed spacer 2, and large subunit ribosomal RNA". The stretch from base 1 to 120 matches the Rfam family "5.8S ribosomal RNA", at positions 35 to 154 of the family's 154-position model. The record is from RNAcentral.